GCAUGGAGAUGCAAGUGUGGCAACAAGUUGUACAUGCCAUGAAUAUAAUUUUCUCUAAGUAUGAUGUAUUUUUGUUGGGUCUAAUAUAUAUAGUUCAUUUUAUUGACUAUAAAUUAAGACAAAUCUCAUCUCUUUGAUUAAUUACGUUAGCUUUAGCUUGUGGUGGAUAUUGGAUAUGGAAAAAAAGAGGGUACAGAACUUGAUUUGAUGUGAAAUAUAUAAUAUAUAUCUUCACACUAA
Molecule: long non-coding RNA, 240 nt
Filed under: Glycine max (soybean)
Lineage: Eukaryota; Viridiplantae; Streptophyta; Magnoliopsida; Fabales; Fabaceae
Description: long non-coding RNA (GMAX_LNC002253)
Source: RNAcentral